Non-coding RNA from Ictidomys tridecemlineatus (thirteen-lined ground squirrel), 95 nucleotides. Lineage: Eukaryota; Metazoa; Chordata; Mammalia; Rodentia; Sciuridae. The record is from Rfam.
AUCCUUUCUAGUUCAUAAGCAUGGUUGUUCAUGCCACUACUUGAGAUAUAACUCCCUCUAAACUUGUUGCAACAUGGCACAUUUCCCGCCUGAUG